AAAAGCAAUACAGGUCUGUAGUUCUUGCUGUGGUGUGGUCAAACAGAACUUCAGCCAUAAAGUUGCAAGGUCUGCACUAACUCCACUACCUAUUAUUCAGUUACCUGGUCAGUUGAGUUUUACGGAACAAGUUUUCCUGUGGGAGUACAGAGGAAAGCUCUAAUGUCAGCUAUGUUCACCUCUCUUGCAUGGAUUCAGAGGGGUUAAAGACAUUCCAGCAAGAGCUCUCCUCCAGCCCUGCCCUCUGCCUCUCACAGGGAGAGAGACUUGGUGUUCUGAGUGGAGCUGUGUUUGCCAGAGCAAAAGGCUCAGAUGGAGCAGAGAUUCCCCUCGAUUGAAAGAAUGAAUUUCCUGGAACUUGUGGCGAUGCUGGUGCUGAGAGAAGAAACAGGUACUGGGCUGAGCUUGGUUUAAGAAUUUGCUGAUCCACCACAGGUGAGAUACUAUCCACUGAAAUCUGACUCCUGUCUUCUGCUUUUGGAGACUUCUGCUGCCAGACAUCA
This is a long non-coding RNA of Prinia subflava (tawny-flanked prinia), 503 nucleotides long. RefSeq lists it as uncharacterized. The record is from RefSeq and is a predicted model, not a curated record. The transcript has 3 exons. Lineage: Eukaryota; Metazoa; Chordata; Aves; Passeriformes; Cisticolidae.